CACGGAGGGAGGGAGAGCGAUCGCGAGGCAGACACCGCGGGCGCGGGGUGCGCCGAGGCUCCUGCGCCGCAAGCGAGGGGUGACAGCCCGUGCGUCCCGCCCGGGCCCUGCCAGCAAACUUCCCAGCCUUGGGAGGCGCGGGCUGGCGGAAGCCCUGCGAGCGCCGCGGGGAGGCGGAGGCGCCUGUUUGUUUUUAAAAUCCGGGAGUGCGUGCAGGCGGCCGGAGCCUGGGAGAGGACCGAAGGCGGCGGCCCGCGGCGGAAGGGGGACAGCCGAUGCUGGAGCUCGGGCAGGAGACGGGUAAGUGGGGUGCCCGGCCGGCGGCCGAGGCCUGCACGCGGCGGCGGCCCAGGGACCCCGGGCUGCGCGGCGGCGGCGGCGGCGGCGGCGGGGCGCGCGAGCUGUAGCCCUGCAGGCGCGGCCGGGGGCGGGGGCGCGGGGCCGCGGGGGGCGCGGCGCGGCAACUUCUGCGGCCUGGGCGGCCGGGGCGGGCUGUGCGUGUGUACGUGCGUCCGCCGCUCCGCAGCCCGCAGCCCGCAGCCCGCAGCCCGCGCCCCGCGCCCCGCGGCCCGCACCCCAGCCCGCAGCUGCGUGCGCCGCGCCAGCCCGCCGUGUUUGUGCAGCUACGCAGCUCGCGCGCGGCCCCCGCCCACCCGGGCGCGGCCCCGGCCCCGGCCCCGGCCCCGGCAGGAAAACCCUUCCGAGCCGCCCGGGCCCCGCCGCGCGGGCGGCGAUGGCGACGGCUCGGGAACGCGGCUGCUCCUCGGCUGGAGAGAAACGUGGUGUCCGCGGGGACCGGCGUGCGUGACCGAGCCCGGGCCCCGGAGGCGUCGGGAGGGGCUCGAGCGAGCCGCGGGAACUUGGCGCCGAAGCCCCUUCCCUUGGCCCUGCCAGUGUGCACGACAAAGUGGACGCGGAAACCGUGCCCGCGCCGGGGGUUUGGGGGACCGACGUGCAGAGGCGGCGGGGAGCUGGGGCAAGUGCAGCAGAGGCCUAAGCCGGAGCACCGGGGGCGGGCGGGCCGGCCUCACCCCGCGCCCCUCGGCGCUGCCGGCGCACCUCAGACCUGUCAUCCUCCUCGCCCGCCCCCGCACGCCCUCGCCCGCCCUCGCCGCUGCGGCCUGCCGAGCUCUCCGCGCCUCACCGUGUGCUGUGUUUGAGGAGUGCCCUCCGGAACUCGGGGGCCCGGGUUUUGUCUGGACCCUGCACAUGGCCGGCUUGGUGGAGGUAGUCAACCCCCCCCUUCCUCCCAGCUCACGCUUACAAGAGCGUGUGCGCCAGGUUGCCCUCCUGGAGGGCCCCCGCCCAAGCCUCUGGAUAAGGGCCUGGUGCCGCCCUGCGAUUUCCAAGCCUCAGCCCCAAGGAGGGCAGACCUGGAGGAGGUACCUGCCACUCAAAGUGGACGCCACUGGGCAUUCCAGCCCAGCCUCCAGAGCGAGCUGCUGGAAAGAUGAAAGGGGAAGUUUCUCGCCCCAUUUAAAACUUUGUUGGUCACAACUUUUGUGGCUACUUCCUGCUUCCACCAUUCCACAUCGGAGCCAUGUGCCAGCCUGUGUGGAGCCUGGCUCCGGGGCCGGCGAGAUGGGAGGAGGAGAGCUGGCUGGCCGUGGCUGA
RNAcentral lists this long non-coding RNA (1614 nucleotides) under Canis lupus familiaris (dog). Its description in RNAcentral is "lncRNA (ENSCAFG00030022333.1)". Lineage: Eukaryota; Metazoa; Chordata; Mammalia; Carnivora; Canidae. The record is from RNAcentral.